UACAGAGGAGCCAAGCGUUGUCCGGAUUGACUGGGCGUAAAGCGCACGCAGGCGGACGCGCGCGUGGGGUGUGAAAUCUGGCCGCUUAACGGCCAGGCGCCAUCCCAUACGGCACGACUGGAGGGCUGCAGAGGUCGAUGGAAUUGCCGGUGUAGUGGUGAAAUGCGUAGAGAUCGGCAGGAACACCCAGGGGGAAACCAGUCGACUGGGCAGCACCUGACGCUGAGGUGCGAGAGCGUGGGGAGCAAACAGG
This 253-nucleotide ribosomal RNA is filed under the name uncultured bacterium. RNAcentral describes it as "partial 16S ribosomal RNA". It matches the Rfam family "Bacterial small subunit ribosomal RNA", at positions 524 to 776 of the family's 1533-position model. The record is from RNAcentral.